Molecule: ribosomal RNA, 774 nt
Filed under: uncultured Neocallimastigales
Lineage: Eukaryota; Fungi; Neocallimastigomycota; Neocallimastigomycetes; Neocallimastigales
Description: partial large subunit ribosomal RNA
Rfam family: Eukaryotic large subunit ribosomal RNA
Source: RNAcentral
AGAGAUGUGUGAUGACGCAUAUCAAUAAGCGGAGGAAAAGAAACUAACAAGGAUUCCCUUAGUAACGGCGAGUGAAGCGGGAAGAGCUCAAAUUUGAAAUCUUCAAGGUUCUACCUUGACGAAUUGUAGUUUAUAGAAGUGUUUUCUGUUAGUAGAGUGGCAAAAGUUCUUUGGAAUAGGACAUCAUAGAGGGUGAGAAUCCCGUAUUUGGUCAUUCCUCCUAGCGUUGUGAUACACUUUCAACGAGUCGGAUUGUUUGGGAAUGCAGUCCAAAAUGGGUGGUAAAUUUCAUCUAAAGCUAAAUAUUGGCGAGAGACCGAUAGCGAACAAGUACCGUGAGGGAAAGAUGAAAAGAACUUUGAAAAGAGAGUUAAACAGUACGUGAAAUUGUCAAAAGGGAAGCGUUUGACACCAGUGUUGUUUUUCCGAAAAUCAAUUACGAAUGUUUUGUUUUUGAGGAGUUAUGACUUCAUCGGCUUGCUCCUUUCUUUAUGAAACUUUCUUAAUGCACUUUUCGGUUAACAAGUCAACAUCAAUUUCUUUUGUUGUAAAAGGGUAUGAGGAAGGUGGCUUUCUUUUCGGAGAAAGUGUUUAUAGCCUUGUGCCUCUGCAAUCGGAGAGAUUGAGGUCUGCAGCGUAGAUCCUUCGGGGUUAGAUACGUUUGUGCUAAGUUAUAGCUUUUCAUAGACAACUUGUUGACUAUGUUUAGUCUUGUAGCUUACUCGCUGACGCUAUUUUACCUACGCUUAGGAUGUUGAGUAGCGACAUACGCAC